This 270-nucleotide ribosomal RNA is filed under the name uncultured bacterium. RNAcentral describes it as "partial 16S ribosomal RNA". It matches the Rfam family "Bacterial small subunit ribosomal RNA", at positions 355 to 616 of the family's 1533-position model. The record is from RNAcentral.
UAGGGAAUCUUCCACAAUGGACGCAAGUCUGAUGGAGCAACGCCGCGUGAGUGAAGAAGGCUUUCGGGUCGUAAAACUCUGUUAUUGAAGAAGAACGUGUGUGACAGUAACUGGUCAUGCAGUGACGGUAUUCAAUCAGAAAGUCACGGCUAACUACGUGCCAGCAGCCGCGGUAAUACGUAGGUGGCAAGCGUUGUCCGGAUUUAUUGGGCGUAAAGCGAGCGCAGGCGGAAUUGAUAAGUCUGAUGUGAAAGCCCACGGCUCAACCGG